Molecule: small RNA, 1602 nt
Filed under: Pan troglodytes (chimpanzee)
Lineage: Eukaryota; Metazoa; Chordata; Mammalia; Primates; Hominidae
Description: retained intron
Source: RNAcentral
AUUCCCGUGUGUUCCUCAGCCAUCGCUCGGGCCAGGGCCUGGGUGCGCAGGCUGUCCCCUGCCCCGUAGGCCCCCAGCCUAGUUCAAUAGUCAAGCAUUUUGAAGAGAAUGAAUGAAAUCCAGUUCUUGACGGUCCUAAAGGAAUACUUGACGUCUAUGAAGUUGAGCAGUUUCCAGGUUUACCUGGAUUCUGGGCAAACACAGUCUGAGAAGUAGCUGGGGCUCCAGGCAGGUGCUCAGGGGGCAUCUCUGCAGGGGAACUGCCAGGCUUUCGGGAGGGCUGGCCUCACCCCCAAGGCCUCACUGCCAUGCUUGUCUUGGCAGAAUCACCUCCACUGUGGCCUGCGACAUGGACCUGGCCAAAUACCCCAUGGACGAGCAGGAGUGCAUGCUGGACCUGGAGAGCUGUGAGUGGGUGUACAAGGCGGGCAGGGGCUUCUCUCGGAGGGGCCACGCUGGCUUCUCCAGCAGUGGAUGGGGGCUCAGACUGUCAGCCCGGGGCCUGGACAAGGCUGGCCCGGCUCAGGGUGCAGGAAAGCACCAAACCAGCUUCUGCAUGCAAGAAGCCUGGGCAGGAGGAGAAGGGGCCAGAAGGCCUGGAGCAGUCUGGCUUGUGGGUCUGUGCCCUGCCUGGGGAGCCGGGCCGUGGAGCCCAGACAUGGCACGGAUUGAUAGUGUUGAGCCAGUGCAGCAGCCCCUGUGUGUCACCUGACAACGGUGACCCCAUCUGUGUCCCAUCCACCUGCCCAGCGGAGCCCGACGUGGUCCCAGAGCCGAAGGCCUCCUCGCUCCUGGCUGGGGUCCUGCUCGGUCCCCAUCACGAUGGCGUCGGCCCCCUGCAGGCUUCCUGUGUGGACGGAGCGCUCCUGCCAGGGCUCCCGGGGCAGGGCCAGGCUCUGCCGCCCACCUGUGUGCUUUUCCUCCAGACGGUUACUCAUCGGAGGACAUUGUCUACUACUGGUCGGAGAGCCAGGAGCACAUCCACGGGCUGGACAAGCUGCAGCUGGCGCAGUUCACCAUCACCAGCUACCGCUUCACCACGGAGCUGAUGAACUUCAAGUCCGCUGGCCAGUUCCCACGGCUCAGCCUGCACUUCCACCUGCGGAGGAACCGCGGCGUGUACAUCAUCCAGUCCUACAUGCCCUCCGUCCUGCUGGUCGCCAUGUCCUGGGUCUCCUUCUGGAUCAGCCAGGCGGCGGUGCCCGCCAGAGUGUCUCUAGGCAUCACCACGGUGCUGACGAUGACCACGCUCAUGGUCAGUGCCCGCUCCUCCCUGCCGCGGGCGUCAGCCAUCAAGGCACUGGACGUCUACUUCUGGAUCUGCUAUGUCUUCGUGUUUGCCGCCCUGGUGGAGUACGCCUUUGCGCAUUUCAACGCCGACUACAGGAAGAAGCAGAAGGCCAAGGUCAAGGUCUCCAGGCCGAGGGCAGAGAUGGACGUGAGGAACGCCAUUGUCCUCUUCUCCCUCUCCGCUGCCGGCGUCACGCAGGAGCUGGCCAUCUCCCGCCGGCAGCGCCGCGUCCCGGGGAACCUGAUGGGCUCCUACAGGUCGGUGGGGGUGGAGACAGGGGAGACGAAGAAGGAGGGGGCGGCCCGCUCAGG